This 74-nucleotide transfer RNA is filed under the name Monotropa uniflora (ghost pipe). Its description in RNAcentral is "tRNA-Ile". It matches the Rfam family "tRNA". From Rfam's summary of the family: Transfer RNA (tRNA) molecules are approximately 80 nucleotides in length. The record is from RNAcentral. Lineage: Eukaryota; Viridiplantae; Streptophyta; Magnoliopsida; Ericales; Ericaceae.
GCAUCCAUGGCUGAAUGGUUAAGGCGCCCAACUCAUAAUUGGCUAAUUUGUGGGUUCAAUUCCUACUGGAUGCA